GACGAACGCUGGCGGCGUGCCUAAUACAUGCAAGUUGAGCGCUGAAGGUUGGUACUUGUACCAACUGGAUGAGCAGCGAACGGGUGAGUAACGCGUGGGGAAUCUGCCUUUGAGCGGGGGACAACAUUUGGAAACGAAUGCUAAUACCGCAUAAAAACUUUAAACACAAGUUUUAAGUUUGAAAGAUGCAAUUGCAUCACUCAAAGAUGAUCCCGCGUUGUAUUAGCUAGUUGGUGAGGUAAAGGCUCACCAAGGCGAUGAUACAUAGCCGACCUGAGAGGGUGAUCGGCCACAUUGGGACUGAGACACGGCCCAAACUCCUACGGGAGGCAGCAGUAGGGAAUCUUCGGCAAUGGACGAAAGUCUGACCGAGCAACGCCGCGUGAGUGAAGAAGGUUUUCGGAUCGUAAAACUCUGUUGGUAGAGAAGAACGUUGGUGAGAGUGGAAAGCCCAUCAAGUGACGGUAACUACCCAGAAAGGGACGGCUAACUACGUG
This 497-nucleotide ribosomal RNA is filed under the name uncultured bacterium. Its description in RNAcentral is "partial 16S ribosomal RNA". It matches the Rfam family "Bacterial small subunit ribosomal RNA", at positions 28 to 507 of the family's 1533-position model. The record is from RNAcentral.